UAGAGCGCACAGUGGAAAGGUGCGCAGAUGACGGUACUUGUCGAAUAAGCCCUGGCUAACUCCGUGCCAGCAGCCGCGGUAACACGUAGGAGGCGAACGUUAUCCGGAUUUACUGGGCGUAAAGCGCGUGUAGGUGGUUUGGUAAGUAGGGCGUGAAAGCUCCUGGCUCAACUGGGAGAGGCCGUUCUAAACUGCCGAACUAGAGGAUGGUAGAGGGAGGUGGAAUUCCGGGUGUAGCGGUGGAAUGCGCAGAUAUCCGGAGGAACACCAGUGGCGAAAGCGGCCUCCUGGACCAUUCCUGACACUCAGACGCGAAAGCUAGGGUAGCAAACGGGAUUAGAGACCCCGGUAGUCCUAGCCCUAAACGAUGUAGACUAGGCGUCGGUGGUUUAAACGCCAUCGGUGUCCAAGCUAACGCGAUAAGUCUACCGCCUGGGGACUACGGCCGCAAGGUUAAAACUCAAAGGAAUUGACGGGUCCCCGCACAAGCAGCGGAGCGUGUGGUUUAAUUCGUUGCUACACGAAGAACCUUACCUGGGUUUGACAUAGCAGUGGUAGGGAAGCGAAAGCAGACCGACCCUUCGGGGAGCUGUUACAGGUGUUGCAUGGCUGUCGUCAGCUCGUGUCGUGAGAUGUUCGGUUAAGUCCGCUAACGAGCGCAACCCUCGCUGUGUGUUACAAGUGUCACACGGUAAUGCCGGUAUUAAGUCGGAGGAAGGUGGGGAUGACGUCAAGUCAGCAUGACCUUUAUAUCCAGGGCUACACACACGCUACAAUGGUCAGCACAAUAGGUUGCCAAGCCGCGAGGCGGAGCCAAUCCUAAAAAGCUGGCCUCAGUUCAGAUUGCAGUCUGCAACUCGACUGCAUGAAGUUGGAGUUGCUAGUAACCGCAGGUCAGCUAUACUGCGGUGAAUACGUUCCCGGGGAUUGUACUCACCGCCCGUCAAG
Molecule: ribosomal RNA, 948 nt
Filed under: uncultured bacterium
Lineage: Bacteria
Description: bacterial SSU rRNA
Rfam family: Bacterial small subunit ribosomal RNA
Source: RNAcentral